GAUCAAACGUUGAAGGGCUUCUGACGGAUGCCUUGGCGUAGAGAGGCGAUGAAGGACGUGGCAAGCUGCGAUAAGAACCGGGGAGGCGCUAGCACCCUUUGAUCCGGUUAUUUCCGAAUGGGGAAACCCACCUUUACAGUCUUCCAACUCUGUUUCUUCGGAGGCAGCGAUUGGCGGAUUGUUGAAAGGUAUAAUG
Molecule: ribosomal RNA, 196 nt
Filed under: Pseudomonas syringae pv. actinidiae
Lineage: Bacteria; Pseudomonadati; Pseudomonadota; Gammaproteobacteria; Pseudomonadales; Pseudomonadaceae
Description: partial 23S ribosomal RNA
Rfam family: Bacterial large subunit ribosomal RNA
Source: RNAcentral